GAGACGCAAGAGACGCAAGAGGUACUUCCUCCCUUGGAGACUCCAGAAGGAACCACCUCUGCUGACAACUGGAUCUGGAUCGCUAACCUCCAGAACCCAAGGCCACUGGACUUGACUCCAUGAUCACCUUUAACAACAUGACCUCAGGAACACCACUGCCAGUUCUCAGUAACUUCCCAGUCACAGCACUAGAAGUGGACCGCCAUCUUGUUGGCCAUGCACAGACAGGCUGCUACGUAACGGCAUUACAGACUCAAGUGGUUCCCACUGUUCAGAC
Long non-coding RNA from Neogale vison (American mink), 277 nucleotides. RefSeq lists it as uncharacterized. The transcript is spliced from 3 exons. NCBI's taxonomy places the organism in Eukaryota, Metazoa, Chordata, Mammalia, Carnivora, Mustelidae. The record is from RefSeq and is a predicted model, not a curated record.